CAGAGAGGAAGGCCUUGAGGUGGGGGCUCUGGCCGUGGUGACCAAGAGGGGUCUAGGAGUGCAAGAUGGACUUGGAUUUCUGGAAAAAGGAUGAAUCUUAAGAGAUUGUCUCAGAUUAGACUCAAGAGCCCUUAGAACUAGUGUGACUUUUUAUGGGGGUGGGGGUUGGGGGGUUAUUGCUUUCUCUCCAGGAUGAAGACGGGAAGAAGUUAUCUGAUGAGGACAUAAGAGCAGAAGCUGACACCUUUAUGUUUGAGGGUGAGGGCCCCAGUGUGGGGCUAGAGAGGGGACUGGGAUCUCUCCCUUCCAGGAACAGGGUGGGUAGAUCCCCACAACCUUCCUAUCCCCCUUCCCCCAUCCUCCCUGAGGCCCUCAAUGCAUGGGUGCUGUCUACCUUCGGGUGCUGAAGCAGCCCAGAGACCCAAGCCUGCCUUGCUGCCCCCCAGGCCAUGACACCACGGCCAGUGGUCUCUCCUGGGUCCUGUACCACCUUGCAAAGCAUCCGGAAUACCAGGAGCGCUGCCGGCAGGAGGUGCAAGAGCUUCUGAAGGACCGUGAGCCUAAAGAGAUUGAAUGGGACGACCUGGCCCAGCUGCCCUUCCUGACCAUGUGCAUUAAGGAGAGCCUGCGGCUGCAUCCCCCAGUCCCGGUCAUCUCCCGCCAUGUCACCCAGGACAUUGUGCUCCCAGACGGCCGGGUCAUCCCCAAAGGCAUUAUCUGCCUCAUCAGUGUUUUCGGAACC
RNAcentral lists this small RNA (742 nucleotides) under Pongo abelii (Sumatran orangutan). Its description in RNAcentral is "retained intron". Lineage: Eukaryota; Metazoa; Chordata; Mammalia; Primates; Hominidae. The record is from RNAcentral.